GAUGAAGAACGCAGCGAAAUGCGAUACUUGGUGUGAAUUGCAGAAUCCCGUGAACCAUCGAGUCUUUGAACGCAAGUUGCGCCCGAAGCCAUUAGGCCGAGGGCAUGCCUGCCUGGGCGUCACACGUCGUUGCCCCCCCAUCUACUCCUUCGGGAUUGCGGGGGGCGGAUGAUGGCCUCCCGUGCGCCUCGCCGCGCGGUUGGCAUAAAUGCCAAGUCCUCGGCGACGCACGCCACGACAAUCGGUGGUUGCGAAACCUCGGUUGCCCGUCGUGUGCGGUCGUCGCGCAUCGAGGGCUCGAAAAAAUUGCCGGGUUCCGGCUCGGCUUUCAACGCGACCCCAGGUCAGGCGGGGUUACCCGCUGAAUUUAAGCAUAUCAAUAAGCGGAGGA
Molecule: unclassified non-coding RNA, 391 nt
Filed under: soil metagenome
Description: partial contains 5.8S ribosomal RNA, internal transcribed spacer 2, and large subunit ribosomal RNA
Rfam family: 5.8S ribosomal RNA (bases 1-122)
Source: RNAcentral